AAGGGCGCAUGGCGGAUGCCUUGGCUCUCGGAGGCGAUGAAGGACGUGAUAAGCUGCGAUAAGCUUCGGGUAGGUGCAAAUGACCUUUGAUCCGAAGAUUUCCGAAUGGGACAACCCGGCAUUCUGAAGGAAUGUCAUCCAACUUUGUUGGAGGCUAACGCAGGGAACUGAAACAUCUUAGUACCUGCAGGAAAAGAAAAUAAACAAUGAUUCCCCCAGUAGUGGCGAGCGAACGGGGAACAGCCCAAACCAUCCAUGUUACGGCAUGGGUGGGGUUGUAGGACUACGCCGUUGCAUGAAGACAUCAGAGAAGAACUUUCUGGAAAGAAAGACCAUAGAGCAUGACAGUUGCGUAUUCGAAUGUUGUCGAAGCAUAGUAGUAUCCUGAGUAGCGCGGAGCACGAGGAAUUCUGCGUGAAUCUGCCGGGACCAUCCGGUAAGGCUAAAUACUCCCGAGAGACCGAUAGCGAACCAGUACCGUGAGGGAAAGGUGAAAAGCACUUCGAACAGAAGAGUGAAAUAGUUCCUGAAACCGUGCGCCUACAAGCGGUCGGAGCUCGUUAAUGAGUGACGGCGUGCCUUUUGCAUAAUGAACCUACGAGUUGCCUUUGCCGGCAAGGUUAAGUGUGACGACACACGUAUCCGAAGCGAAAGCGAGUCUGAACAGGGCGUAUAGUCGGCAGUGGCAGACGCGAAACCAAGUGAUCUACCCUUGGCCAGGUUGAAGGCUGGGUAACACCAGCUGGAGGACCGCACCAAUAAGCGUUGAAAAGCUUCUGGAUGAGCUGAGGGUAGGGGUGAAAGGCUAAUCAAACUUGGAGAUAGCUCGUACUCCCCGAAAUGCAUUUAGGUGCAGCCUUGAGAGUUACUAAUGUGAGGUAGAGCGACUGAUAAGAUGCGAGGGCUUCACCGCCUAUCAAGUCUUGACAAACUCCGAAUGCGCAUCAGUUCUACCGCAGGAGUGAGGGCAUGGGUGCUAAGGUCCGUGCCCGAGAGGAGAAGAAUCCGGACCACCUGCUAAGGUCCCGAAAUGACAGCUAAGUUAAACUAACGAAGUCUGACUGCUAAGACAGCUAGGAUGUUGGCUUGGAAGCAGCCAUUCAUUUAAAGAGUGCGUAACAGCUCACUAGUCGAGGAGUCGGGCGUGGAUAAUAAUCGGGUAUUAAGUUGUCUACCGAAGCAGUGGGAUCAUUUAUAUGAUCGGUAGGGGAGCAUUCCAGUCAGCGUCGAAGGCGUACCGUGAGGUAUUCUGGAGCGUCUGGAAAAGCAAAUGUAGGUAUAAGUAACGAUAAAGGGGGCGGGAAACCCCCUCGCCGAAAGACUAAGGUUUCCUGAUCAACGCUAAUCGGAUCAGGGUCAGUCGGGUCCUAAGGCUCAGCCGAACGGCGAUGCCGAUGGCAGAAACGGUUAAUAUUCCGUUACUACCUUCAGGAGUGACGUGGAGACGCAGUAGUGACAGUGCCGCCAUCUGACGGAAUAGAUGGUUGAAGGGUGUAGGAGUCGAUCAUGGCAGGCAAAUCCACCAUGAGAUCCGAACCUGACAGUAUGCCGCGUCCUUCGGGACAAGGCAAUAGUGCGCGUAAGCAUGCUGCCGAGAAAAUCCGCUAAACUUAAUCCUGCAGGUACCCGUACCGCAAACGGACACACGUAGUCGGGAUGAAUAUUCUAAGGCGCUUGAGUGAUUCACGGUUAAGGAACUAGGCAAACUGACCCUGUAACUUCGGGAUAAAGGGUCCCUACCCUUUUAUGGGAGGGCGCAGAGAAUCGGUCCAGGCAACUGUUUAACAAAAACACAGGGCUGUGCCAAAUCGAAAGAUCCAGUAUACAGCCUGACACCUGCCCGGUGCUGGAAGGUUAAGAGGAGAUGUCAUCGAUGAGAGAAGCGUUGAAUUGAAGCCCCAGUAAACGGCGGCCGUAACUAUAACGGUCCUAAGGUAGCGAAAUUCCUUGUCGGGUAAGUUCCGACCUGCACGAAUGGUGUAAUGAUCUGGACACUGUCUCAACCGUGAGCUCAGUGAAAUUGUAGUAUCGGUGAAGAUGCCGAUUACCCGCGAUGGGACGAAAAGACCCCGUGAACCUUUACUAUAGCUUAUCAUUGAAUCUGGGCACGUGAUGUGUAGGAUAGGUCGGAGGCUUUGAAGCAGGUACGCCAGUAUUUGUGGAGCCGCUGUUGAAAUACGACCCUUUAUUUGUUUGGAUUCUAACCCGUGGAACGGGGACAUUGAUUGGUGGGUAGUUUGACUGGGGUGGUCGCCUCCAAAAGCGUAACGGAGGCUUCUAAAGGUGCCCUCACGCCGAUUGGUAACCGGCGGUAGAGUGUAAUGGCAUAAGGGCGCUUGACUGGGAGACUUACAAGUCGAUCAGGUAG
Molecule: ribosomal RNA, 2368 nt
Filed under: human gut metagenome
Description: bacterial LSU rRNA
Rfam family: Bacterial large subunit ribosomal RNA
Source: RNAcentral